Molecule: ribosomal RNA, 496 nt
Filed under: uncultured bacterium
Lineage: Bacteria
Description: partial 16S ribosomal RNA
Rfam family: Bacterial small subunit ribosomal RNA
Source: RNAcentral
GAUGAACGCUGGCGGCGUGCCUAAUACAUGCAAGUCGAGCGAACAGACGAGGAGCUUGCUCCUCUGACGUUAGCGGCGGACGGGUGAGUAACACGUGGAUAACCUACCUAUAAGACUGGGAUAACUUCGGGAAACCGGAGCUAAUACCGGAUAAUAUAUUGAACCGCAUGGUUCAAUAGUGAAAGACGGUUUUGCUGUCACUUAUAGAUGGAUCCGCGCGGCAUUAGCUAGUUGGUAAGGUAACGGCUUACCAAGGCAACGAUGCGUAGCCGACCUGAGAGGGGGAUCGGCCACACUGGAACUGAGACACGGCCCAGACGCCGACGGGAGGCAGCAGUCGGGCACCUGCCGCAAUGGGCGAAACCUUGACGGAGCAACGCCGCGUGAGUGAUGAAGGGCUUCGGAUCGUAAAACGCUGUUAUUAGGGAAGAACAAAUGGGUAAGUAACUAUGCACGUCUUGACGGUACCUAAUCAGAAAGCCACGGCGAACUACGU